UACGAAGGGGGCUAGCGUUGCUCGGAAUCACUGGGCGUAAAGCGCACGUAGGCGGCUUUUUAAGUCAGGGGUGAAAUCCUGGAGCUCAACUCCAGAACUGCCUUUGAUACUGAGAAGCUUGAGUCCGGGAGAGGUGAGUGGAACUGCGAGUGUAGAGGUGAAAUUCGUAGAUAUUCGCAAGAACACCGGUGGCGAAGGCGGGUCUCUGGGCCGAUACUGACGCUGAGGAGCGAAAGCGUGGGGAGCGAACGGG
This 253-nucleotide ribosomal RNA is filed under the name uncultured bacterium. RNAcentral's name for it is "partial 16S ribosomal RNA". It matches the Rfam family "Bacterial small subunit ribosomal RNA", at positions 524 to 776 of the family's 1533-position model. The record is from RNAcentral.